GUGCCAGCAGCCGCGGUAAUACGGAAGGUCCGGGCGUUAUCCGGAUUUAUUGGGUUUAAAGGGAGCGCAGGCCGUUUGGUAAGCGUGUUGUGAAAUGUCCGGGCUCAACCUGGGCACUGCAGCGCGAACUGUCAGACUUGAGUGCACAGGAAGCGGGCGGAAUUCGUGGUGUAGCGGUGAAAUGCUUAGAUAUCACGAAGAACUCCAAUUGCGAAGGCAGCUCGCUGUAGUGUUACUGACGCUAAAGCUCGAAAGUGCGGGUAUCGAACAGGAUUAGAUACCCUGGUAGUCCGCACGGUAAACGAUGGAUGCCCGCUGUUUGCCCUUCGGGGUGAGUGGCUAAGCGAAAGCGUUAAGCAUCCCACCUGGGGAGUACGCCGGCAACGGUGAAACUCAAAGGAAUUGACGGGGGCCCGCACAAGCGGAGGAACAUGUGGUUUAAUUCGAUGAUACGCGAGGAACCUUACCCGGGCUUGAAUUGCAGAUGACGGAUCUAGAGAUAGAUUUUUCCUUCGGGACAUCUGUGAAGGUGCUGCAUGGUUGUCGUCAGCUCGUGCCGUGAGGUGUCGGCUUAAGUGCCAUAACGAGCGCAACCCUUCUCUUCAGUUGCCAUCAGGUUAAGCUGGGCACUCUGGAGACACUGCCACCGUAAGGUGUGAGGAAGGUGGGGAUGACGUCAAAUCAGCACGGCCCUUACGUCCGGGGCUACACACGUGUUACAAUGGCCGGUACAGAAAGUCGGAUGCCCGUAAGGUCAUUCUAAUCAAGAAAGCCGGUCCCAGUUCGGACUGAGGUCUGCAACCCGACCUCACGAAGCUGGAUUCGCUAGUAAUCGCGCAUCAGCCAUGGCGCGGUGAAUACGUUCCCGGGCCUUGUACACACCGCCCGU
This 889-nucleotide ribosomal RNA is filed under the name uncultured rumen bacterium. RNAcentral describes it as "bacterial SSU rRNA". It matches the Rfam family "Bacterial small subunit ribosomal RNA", at positions 505 to 1397 of the family's 1533-position model. The record is from RNAcentral.